Molecule: ribosomal RNA, 437 nt
Filed under: uncultured bacterium
Lineage: Bacteria
Description: bacterial SSU rRNA
Rfam family: Bacterial small subunit ribosomal RNA
Source: RNAcentral
UAACGCGAAGAACCUUACCAGCCCUUGACAUGGCAGGACGACUUCCGGAGACGGAUUUCUUCUCGCAAGAGACCUGCGCACAGGUGCUGCAUGGCUGUCGUCAGCUCGUGUCGUGAGAUGUUGGGUUAAGUCCCGCAACGAGCGCAACCCUCGCCCUUAGUUGCCAUCAUUCAGUUGGGCACUCUAGGGGGACUGCCGGUGAUAAGCCGAGAGGAAGGUGGGGAUGACGUCAAGUCCUCAUGGCCCUUACGGGCUGGGCUACACACGUGCUACAAUGGCGGUGACAGAGGGCAGCUACUCCGCAAGGAGAUGCUAAUCCCUAAAAGCCGUCUCAGUUCAGAUUGUCCUCUGCAACUCGAGGGCAUGAAGCUGGAAUCGCUAGUAAUCGUGGAUCAGCACGCCACGGUGAAUACGUUCCCGGGUCUUGUACACACCGA